CGCGUAGGUGGUUUUGCAAGUCAGAAGUGAAAGGCUACGGCUCAACCGUAGUAAGCUUUUGAAACUGCAAGACUAGAGUGCAGGAGAGGUAAGUGGAAUUCCUAGUGUAGAGGUGAAAUUCGUAGAUAUUAGGAGGAACACCAGUGGCGAAGGCGACUUACUGGACUGUAACUGACACUGAGGCACGAAAGCGUGGGGAGCAAACAGGAUUAGAUACCCUGGUAGUCC
Molecule: ribosomal RNA, 228 nt
Filed under: uncultured bacterium
Lineage: Bacteria
Description: partial 16S ribosomal RNA
Rfam family: Bacterial small subunit ribosomal RNA
Source: RNAcentral